CUUCUUCUUCUUCUUCUUCUUCUUCUUCUCAUUUCCAUACCACCAUCACCCAUUCCCACGAUAUUUAUAACUGGUGGUGAUGAUGGUGGUGGUGGUGGUGGUGGUGAUGGUGGAGGUGGUGAUAAUAUUAGUGGUGAUGGUGGUGGUGAUGGUGUAGGUGGUGAUAAUAUUAGUGGUGGUGUUGGUGGUGGUGAAAGCAUGUUGAAAGAAAAGGGAAGGAAAAGGAAAGAAAUUAAGUUGAAAGUAAGAGAAAGUAAACGGAAGGAAGGAAAAGAAAGGAGAGAAAAAAAUAGUCAUGGUGAAAGAAAGGAAGGAAAAGGAGAGAGAGAAAAGAAAGUUGAAAGGACACGAAAAGAAGCAAAAGAAAGGAGAGAAAAAAAUAGUCAUGGUGGAAGAAAGGAAGGGAAAGGAGAAAGAAAAAAAAGGUUGAAAGGACCCGAAAGGAAGCAAAAGAAAGGAGAGAAAAAAAUAGUCAUGGUGAAAGAAAGGAAGGAAAAGGAGAGAGAGAAAAGAAAGUCGAAAGGACACGAAAGGAAGGAAAAGAAAGGAGAGAAAAAUUAAGGUCAAGGUGAAAGAAAGGAAGGAAAAGGAGAGAGAGAAAAGAAAGUUGAAAGGACACGAAAAGAAGCAAAAGAAAGGAGAGAAAAAAAUAGUCAUGGUGAAAGAAAGGAAGGAAAAGGAGAAAGAAAAAGAAGGUUGAAAGGACACGAAAGGAAGGAAAAGAAAAAUAAGGUUAAUCCCCCCCAGUCACACACAUCACCUUCCCUGAGUCACCCCUUAACUCAUUGUCCGGAGCGGUGGGAAAAGUGGGACGGAAAGCGAACGUGAGGAUGAACAAAAAUAAACGGGGAAAAAACAGAAAACGAAGGAAAGGGUGCACUGAUCUCUUUCUUUAACACAUGCAAGUCGACAAGUAGAGUUAGAUCGUUUUAAAAAAGGAUCAGAAUACACAAAGAAGAAAGGGACAGGGAAGCAAAAGGGGAAAGGCACUGAUCUCUUUCUUUAACACAUGCAAGUCGACAAGUAGAGUUAGAUCGUUUUAGAAAAGGAUCAGAAUACACAAAGAAGAAAGGGACAGGGAAGCAAAAGGGGAUAGGCAAUGAUCUCUUUCUUGAACACAUGCAAGUCGGCAAGUAGAGUUAGAUCGUUUUAAAAAAGGAUCAGAAUACACAAAGAAGAAAGGGACAGGGAAGCAAAAGGGGAAAGGCAGUGAUCUCUUUCUUUAACACAUGCAAGUCGGCAAGUAGAGUUAGAUCGUUUUAAAAAAGGAUCAGAAUACACAAAGAAGAAUGGGACAGGGAUGCAAAAGGGGAAAGGCAAUGAUCUCUUUCUUUAACACAUGCAAGUCGACAAGUAGAGUUAGAUCGUUUUAGAAAAGGAUCAGAAUACACAAAGAAGAAUGGGACAGGGAAGCAAAAGGGGAUAGGCAAUGAUCUCUUUCUUUAACACAUGCAAGUCGACAAGUAGAGUUAGAUCGUUUUAAAAAAGGAUCAGAAUACACAAAGAAGAAAGGGACAGGGAAGCAAAUGGGGAUAGGCAAUGAUCUUCUUUGACAUGCAAGCCGUCAUAUAGAGUUAGAUCGUUUUAGAAAAGGAUCUCAAUACACAGAUAAAGAAGGAAGGGAAAGGGAAGCAAAAAAGGGAAGGGCAGUGAUCUCUUUCUUUAACACAUGCAAGCUAUCAUAUAGAGUUAGAUCGUUUUAGAAAAGGAUCUCAAUACACAGAUAAAGAAGGAAGGGAAAGGGAAGCAAAAGGGGAAGGGUAGUGGAUUCCCUUUCCCAAAUACCCGCAAAUCACAGAGAGAAGGUAUUAGCAGUAAGACAAAAGGCGAUCUGAAUACAAAAUAAGGGAUUGGAAACGAGAAAAAGAAAAUAUUAAUAAAGAAACGGAAGAGAAGGGAAGCAAGAAGGGUAGGGCAUUGAAUUCCUCUCCCUAAACACAUGCAAGUAAUCACGUAGAGUUAGAACGUAAGAAAAAAGAAUGAAUGUAAAUAAUAAGGGAGUGGAAACAAUAAAAACAAUAAUAAUUAGGAAUGGAAGGGCAGUAAUUUCCUAUUUAAAACGUGUACGUGAUCAGAUAGAGUUGGAGGGAAAAGACGGAGCAGUCAGAAUGCAAAUAAUAUAGGAGUGGAAACGAUGAAAAAGAGUAUUAAUAAAGAAAGAUAAGGAAGGGCAGUUAAUCCUCUUCUAAACACAUGCAAGUCGUCACGUUGAGUUGGAAAUAAGAUAAAAGGAUCUGAAUGCAAAUAAUAUAGGAGUGGAAACGAUGAAAAAGAGGAUAUUAAUAAAGAAAGGGAAGGAAGGGCAGUUAAUCCUCUUCUUAAACACAUGCAAGUCGUCACGUAGAGUUAGGAGGAAGAGAGAAGGAUCUGAAUACACAAAAUUUGGGAGUGGAAACGAUUGAGAGAGUAUUAAUUAAGAAAAGGAAGGAAAGGGAAGGGCAGUGGAUUCCUGCUGCUCUCCAAAACGUGUACAGGAUCAGAUAGAGUUAGAAAUAAAAAGAAAAUCGAUCUGAAUGCAAAUAAUAAGGGAGUGGAAACGAUUAAAAGUGAAAUAUUAAUAAAGAAAGAGAAGGGAAGGACAGUGAUUUCCCGUCCUCCAAAACGUGUGCACCAUUAGAGAAGGUUAGGAGGAAAAGUUGAUCUGAAGGUGACUAAUGUGGGAGUGGAGACGAUUGACAGAGACUAAUUAUUGAAAACGGAAGGGAAGCGAGGGGAAGACCAGUGAUUUCCCGUCCUCCAAAACGUGUGCACCAUUAGAUAAGGUUAGGAGGAAAAGUUGAUCUGAAGGUGACUAAUGUGGGAGUGGAGACGAUUAACAGAAUAAUUACUGUAAACGGAAGGGAAGGGAAGGGAAGGGAAGUGACUUUUCCUCCUUCUCAAACACAUGCAAGUCACGGGAAUGUAUAACAAGUAAAUAGAAAAGACAAACUCAACUAAACUUAAGU
This is a long non-coding RNA of Eriocheir sinensis (Chinese mitten crab), 2945 nucleotides long. RefSeq lists it as uncharacterized. The record is from RefSeq and is a predicted model, not a curated record. The transcript has 3 exons. Lineage: Eukaryota; Metazoa; Arthropoda; Malacostraca; Decapoda; Varunidae.